RNAcentral lists this long non-coding RNA (205 nucleotides) under Olea europaea (common olive). RNAcentral describes it as "long non-coding RNA (OEUR_LNC011986)". Lineage: Eukaryota; Viridiplantae; Streptophyta; Magnoliopsida; Lamiales; Oleaceae. The record is from RNAcentral.
UGAAAAGGGCCGGUAAUACGACAUCGUUCGGGUACGUCAAUAAUCGUAUGAAGGUUGUGAUUGAUCAAUAAAGGAUUCGUCACUCUUAGAUAGUAGGAGAUUAUGAUCUGCGUUUCAUUCAAUUAAGUCAAUAAUGAAAUCCUUGGCCAAGGUGUACUCAUAAGUCGAAAAGGAGUUUUCGAUUUAUAUUGACUUAAUAGUGGAG